CCUACGGGAGGCAGCAGUGAGGAAUAUUGGUCAAUGGACGCAAGUCUGAACCAGCCAUGCCGCGUGCAGGAUGAAGGCUCUAUGAGUUGUAAACUGCUUUUGUACGAGGGUAAACCCCGAUACGUGUAUCGGGUUGAAAGUAUCGUUCGAUUAAGGCUCGGCUAACUCUGUGCCAGCAGCCGCGGUAAUACGGAGGGUCCGAGCGUUAUGCGGAUUUAUUGGGUUUAAAGGGUGCGUAGUCGGUUGGAUAAGUUAGAAGUGAAAUGUCGGGGCUCAACCCCGGAACUGCCUUGGAAACUGUGGGACUAGAGAGUAGUAGCGGUAGGCGGAAUGUAUGGUGUAGCGGUGAAAUGCUUAGAGAUCAUGCAGAACACCGAUUGCGAAGGCAGCUUAUCAAACUAUAUCUGACGUUGAGGCACGAAAGCGUGGGUAGCAAACAGGAUUAGAUACCCCAGUAGUC
RNAcentral lists this ribosomal RNA (460 nucleotides) under uncultured bacterium. RNAcentral's name for it is "partial 16S ribosomal RNA". It matches the Rfam family "Bacterial small subunit ribosomal RNA", at positions 338 to 795 of the family's 1533-position model. The record is from RNAcentral.